RNAcentral lists this ribosomal RNA (257 nucleotides) under uncultured bacterium. RNAcentral's name for it is "partial 16S ribosomal RNA". It matches the Rfam family "Bacterial small subunit ribosomal RNA", at positions 524 to 776 of the family's 1533-position model. The record is from RNAcentral.
UACAGAGACCUCAAACGUUAUCCGGAAUCAUUGGGCGUAAAGCGUACCGAUAGGUGGUUUUACAAGUCAGAAGUGAAAUCUCUAAGCUUAACUUAGAGUCUGUCUUUUGAAACUGUAAAACUAGAGGGGCAAAGAGGAAGCUGGAACGAACGGUGUAGUAGUGAAAUGCGUUGAUAUCGUUCGGAACACCAAUAGCGUAGGCAGGCUUCUGGGUGCCACCUGACACUGCUAGGACGAAAGCGUGGGGAGCGAUAAGG